UACGUAGGGGGCAAGCGUUGUUCGGAAUUACUGGGCGUAAAGGGCGCGUAGGCGGCAUGGCAAGUCAGGAGUGAAAGGCCUGGGCUCAACCGAGGAACUGCUUUUGAUACUGCCAAGCUAGAGUGCGGAAGGGGCAACUGGAAUUCCCAGUGUAGCGGUGAAAUGCGUAGAUAUUGGGAAGAACACCGGUGGCGAAGGCGGCUCUCUGGACCGAGACUGACGCUGAGGCGCGAAAGCGUGGGGAGCAAACAGG
Molecule: ribosomal RNA, 253 nt
Filed under: uncultured bacterium
Lineage: Bacteria
Description: partial 16S ribosomal RNA
Rfam family: Bacterial small subunit ribosomal RNA
Source: RNAcentral